Ictalurus punctatus (channel catfish) is the source of this 1549-nucleotide long non-coding RNA. The record is from Ensembl. Lineage: Eukaryota; Metazoa; Chordata; Actinopteri; Siluriformes; Ictaluridae.
UAUAUAUAUAUAUAUAUAUAUAUAUUUGGAUUAGAUAAUAAGAUGGGAAAUGAUUAUUUUAAUUAAUCUACUGUUCAUACAAAAGAAGAGCCUCAUUCAUCAACAUAACAAACAGUCAUGGCGUGUACAGGAAGUGUGUGGGAAAUGUAAAAAAUCUGAAUGUUAACGUUAAGAUUUAUUUAUUUAUUUAUUUAUUUAUUUAUUUAUUUUGUAUGACAAUGACAGAACCACAUCUCUCUCCAUCAUCAUCAUCAUCAUCAUCAUCAUCAUCUCCCUCGGUUGAAUUCUUCUGAAGGAAGGGGAUCAGGUUCACGUUUUGACCCAAACCCCCGUUACAUUUUUCACGAACGCUGUCCUGAGACACAGGCUGUUGUGUAGACGUACAGUAAAUCGUGUGUUUAUUAGAUAACUCGAUCGGCGCAGCAGACGAACCGGUGUAUCAGUGAUAUAGACGGUGACGGUGGAGGCGCGGUGGUAGCGUCCGGAACGCUCCAUUGUGAGCUCGGGUUACUCUCUGUCUGGAUCCGUGUGUGUGCGGAAUAAAACACGGCCUCGGGGUGCGAGUGACUGCGUGAGGGAGUGUGUGAGUAAUAAGUGUGUGUGUGUGAGUGAGUGUGUGAGUAAUAAGUGUGUGUGAGUGAGUGUGUGAGUAAUAAGUGUGUGUGUGAGUGAGUGUGUGAGUAAUAAGUGUGUGUGAGUGAGUGUGUGAGUAAUAAGUGUGUGUGAGUGAGUGUGUGAGUAAUAAGUGUGUGUGUGAGUGAGUGUGUGAGUAAUAUGUGUGUGUGAGUGAGUGUGUGAGUAAUAAGUGUGUGUGAGUGAGUGUGUGAGUAAUAAGUGUGUGUGAGUGAGUGUGUGAGUAAUAAGUGUGUGUGAGUGAGUGUGUGAGUAAUAAGUGUGUGUGAGUGAGUGAGUGUGUGAGUAAUAAGUGUGUGUGAGUAAUAAUGGUGGUGAGUGAGUGAGUGUGUGAGUGAGUGUGUGUGACCAAGUGGUGACCACCGAUGAUGAUGAUGAAUGUGAUGGUAACGGUGGUGAUGAAGACGGUGAUGAUGAUGAUGCUGAUGACAGUAAUGGUGAUGAUGGUGGUGAUGAAGAUGGUGAUGAUGAUGAUGGUGAUGGUGAUGGUGAUGAUGAUGGCGAUAAUGAUGAUGAAGAUGAUGAUGAUGAUGAUGGUGAUGAUGAUGAUGAUGAUGAUGGUGGUUGAUGGUGAUCGUGCUGAUGAUGGUGAUGAUGAUGAUGGUGGUGACCAUGGUGAUGAUGGUGAUAAUGAUGAUGAUGAUGAUGAUGGUGGUGAUGAUGAUGAUGAUGGUGAUGAUGAUGGUGAUGAUGAUGAUGAUGAUGGUGAUGUUGAUGAUGGUGAUGAUGAUGAAGAUUAUGGUGGUGAUGGUGAUCGUGGUGAUGAAGGUGCUGAUGAUGAUGAUGAUGAUGAUGGUGGUGAUGAUGGUGAUGAUGAUGAAGAUGAUGGUAAUGAUGGUGGUGGUCAUGGUGGUGAUGGUGGUUGAUGUGAUGAAGGUGUGAUGAUGCUGAUGACGGUGAUGAUGAUGAUGAUGAU